Molecule: ribosomal RNA, 373 nt
Filed under: uncultured organism
Description: bacterial SSU rRNA
Rfam family: Bacterial small subunit ribosomal RNA
Source: RNAcentral
CGUAGGUGGCAAGCGUUGUCCGGAAUUAUUGGGCGUAAAGCGCGCGCAGGCGGUCCUUUAAGUCUGAUGUGAAAGCCCACGGCUCAACCGUGGAGGGUCAUUGGAAACUGGGGGACUUGAGUACAGAAGAGAAGAGUGGAAUUCCACGUGUAGCGGUGAAAUGCGUAGAGAUGUGGAGGAACACCAGUGGCGAAGGCGACUCUUUGGUCUGUAACUGACGCUGAGGCGCGAAAGCGUGGGGAGCAAACAGGAUUAGAUACCCUGGUAGUCCACGCCGUAAACGAUGAGUGCUAAGUGUUAGAGGGUUUCCGCCCUUUAGUGCUGCAGCAAACGCAUUAAGCACUCCGCCUGGGGAGUACGGCCGCAAGGCUAG